Rattus norvegicus (Norway rat) is the source of this 50-nucleotide non-coding RNA. NCBI's taxonomy places the organism in Eukaryota, Metazoa, Chordata, Mammalia, Rodentia, Muridae. The record is from Rfam.
GGGGAUUUAGCUCAGUGGUAGAGCACUUGCCUAGCAAGCUCAAGUCCCUG